This 496-nucleotide ribosomal RNA is filed under the name uncultured bacterium. Its description in RNAcentral is "partial 16S ribosomal RNA". It matches the Rfam family "Bacterial small subunit ribosomal RNA", at positions 29 to 523 of the family's 1533-position model. The record is from RNAcentral.
AUUGAACGCUGGCGGCAUGCCUUACACAUGCAAAUCGAACGGUAGAGGGGGCAACCCCUUGAGAGUGGCGAACGGGUGAGUAAUGCAUCGGAACGUGCCCAGUCGUGGGGGAUAGCCCGGGGAAACCCGGAUUAAUACCGCAUACGACCUGAGGGUGAAAGCGGGGGACCGAAAGGCCUCGCGCGAUUGGAGCGGCCGAUGUCGGAUUAGGUAGUUGGUGGGGUAAAGGCCUACCAAGCCUGCGAUCCGUAGCUGGUCUGAGAGGACGACCAGCCACACUGGGACUGAGACACGGCCCAGACUCCUACGGGAGGCAGCAGUGGGGAAUUUUGGACAAUGGGCGCAAGCCUGAUCCAGCCAUGCCGCGUGCGGGAAGAAGGCCUUCGGGUUGUAAACCGCUUUUGUCAGGGAAGAAAUCUCUUGGGUUAAUACCUCAAGUGGAUGAUGGUACCGGAAUAAGAAGCACCGGCUAACUACGUGCCAGCCGCCGCCGUAA